RNAcentral lists this long non-coding RNA (232 nucleotides) under Hordeum vulgare. Its description in RNAcentral is "long non-coding RNA (HVUL_LNC013737)". Lineage: Eukaryota; Viridiplantae; Streptophyta; Magnoliopsida; Poales; Poaceae. The record is from RNAcentral.
UUUCUCCUCCUCCUCCUCCUCCUCUUCUUCUUCUUCUUCUUCUUUUCUCCUCCUCCUCCUCCUCCUCUUCUUCUUCUUCUUCUUCUUCUUCUUCUUCUUCUUCUUCUUCUUCUUAUUCUUCUUCUUCUUCUCCAUCUUCUUUUCGUUCUUCUUCUAAUUAUUUUCUUCUUUUCCUUUUUUCUUUUCCAUUUUUUUCCUUCUGCUUUUCCUCUGUUUUUUCUUCUAACCUAAC